CCUACGGGAGGCAGCAGUCAAGAAUAUUCCUCAAUGGCCGAAAGGCUGAAGGAGCGACGCCGCGUGUAUGAUGACGCCUUUCGGGGUGUAAAAUACUUUUAACCGGGACGAAAUACUGACGGUACCGGUUGAAUAAGGGGCUGCUAACCUCGUGCCAGCAGCCGCGGUAAU
This 171-nucleotide ribosomal RNA is filed under the name uncultured bacterium. Its description in RNAcentral is "partial 16S ribosomal RNA". It matches the Rfam family "Bacterial small subunit ribosomal RNA", at positions 338 to 524 of the family's 1533-position model. The record is from RNAcentral.